GGGUGCUACAAUACCAGCACUAACGCACCGAAUCCCAUCAGAACUUCGAAGUUAAGCGUGCUUAGGCGAGAGUAGUACUCGGAAGGGUAACCCCCUGGGAAGUCCUUGUGUUGCACCCC
This 119-nucleotide ribosomal RNA is filed under the name Olea europaea subsp. europaea. The record is from RNAcentral. Lineage: Eukaryota; Viridiplantae; Streptophyta; Magnoliopsida; Lamiales; Oleaceae.